Molecule: long non-coding RNA, 1025 nt
Filed under: Gopherus agassizii (Agassiz's desert tortoise)
Lineage: Eukaryota; Metazoa; Chordata; Testudines; Testudinidae
Description: lncRNA (ENSGAGG00000015461.1)
Source: RNAcentral
GGGAGAUGUUCGGGAGAUCUCCACGCCGGAAUAUAACCUGGAGAGGAAAGUAAACAAAGUGAGAGGGGAUACCCUUGCGGUCCCAAGAUUUGAUCCAAGGAGGAAUAGUGGAGAAACCAGAGUAACGGGUGAUGCUGGUGGUAAAAGGUCUCUGCACGAUGGGGGAAAGAAUGUCACUGACGCCAAACGCCGAAAAUUAAAAGGUCUGUACACUAAUGCGAGGAGCCUAGGUAACAAGAUGGAGGAACUGGAGUUACUGGUGCAGGAAGUGAAACCGGAUAUUAUAGGGAUAACUGAAACCUGGUGGAAUAGUACUCAUGACUGGAGCACGGGUAUUGAAGGCUAUGUGCUGUUUAGAAAAGACAGGAAGAAAGGCAAAGGUGGUGGAGUAGCCUUGUACAUCAAUGAUGAAAUUAACUGUAGCGAAAUAAGAAGCGAUGGAAUGGAUAAGACAGAGUCUGUCUGGGCGAAAAUCACACUGGGUAAAAAAGCAACUAGAGCUUCCCCUGAGAUAGUGCUUGGCGUGUGCUACAGACCGCCGGGAUCUGAUUGGGAUAUGGAUAGAGACCUCUUUAAUGUCUUUAAUGAAGUAAACACAAAGGGGAAAUGUGUGAUUAUGGGGGACUUCAACUUCCCGGAUAUAGACUGGAGGACGAGUACUUGCAAGAAUAAUAGGGGUCAGAUUUUUCUGGAUGUGAUAGCGGAUGGAUUUCUUCAUCAAGUAGUUGAAGUACCUACGAGAGGAGAUGCCAUUUUAGAUUUGGUGUUGGUGAGCAGUGAGGACCUCGUAGAAGAAAUGGUGGUAGGGGACAACCUUGGUUCGAGUGAUCAUGAGCUGAUUCAGUUCAAACUAGAUGGAAGGAUAAACAAAUGUAGAUCUGGGAUUAGGGUUUUCGACUUCUCGAGGGCUAAUUUUAAAGAGUUAAGGAAAUUAGUUAGGGAAGUGGAUUGGACGGAGGAAUUAGUGGAUUUAAAUGCGGAGGAGGCCUGGAAUUACUUUAAGUCGCAGCUGCGGAGACUGUCGG